UCAUGGGAUAAGGCCCUUCUCUCUGGCCUCCUCUCCAACCUGCAGUUCCCUGUCCAUCUUGGCCAAGUUCAUCUGAUUUGCAGAUGGGGAGCCUGCCUGGCACGAAUCCUAUGGUCCCUGCUUCCUUUGGGAAAUCAAGAGCAAAGCUCCCUCCCAACUCAUGGUGUUCCCCGAGCAGAAUAGAGGCCGGCUGUGUGCGUUGAAGAAAUGAAUGAAGUGAUUGGGAGCUGAGUGCCGGCGGAGACCGGCCCCCCUGGGCAUAUGUGAAAACCUGAGGACCCCACUGAACUUUCAAAAUCCAAAGAAGAGAAUCCUGAGGAAAGAUCUGUAUCAUUUGCUGGGGUGUAAGAUGUGCAAGGAUAUUAACAAUUUAACAAACACGUAUCAAAGGGAGGUAUAAGUACGAUUUUCCAUGAUAAUUUUCUAUUGGAAGCAUGAAUGAUACAUAGACAUAUAUUUUCUUGAUCUGGUUUAGUAAAGUAUUAUUAAUAUUAGAUAACCAAAUUCCUACUGUAACCCAGAGGGCUAAAUUGUAUGAACAAUGUUGUCUGAUGUCCUGGUUGCCAGGCACUGUGGACAGCCACCCCUACAUCCUCCCCACCUCUUCUUCCUGGCCCUCUCCAGGCAGAUGGGAUGGAAACUCAGAACUUGACUGACAUUCCCAGCCUCCUUUGAAGUUCUGAACCACCUCAGGGCUCCUCACCAGAAUCAGCUCUCGGGAGCCAGGCUUCUCUAACUCAGAGCCAGUGCAGGCUUCAGGCCCCACAUCUCCUGCUCGGCCUCCUCUGGCCUCGGUUGAUGAGAUGGAAGCUCCCUCCCCUGCCUCCCUGCGCCCAGGCUCACAAACCUGUCACUGGAUGUCUUUAUUUAGUGAGCUUUCCUGCCCAAGCCUGCUUCCAGGGCAGGAUGUAUUGAUACAAAAUCCAUCAGGAGGUGUGUCUGGGCAUUUAAUCAAUGAGGCUGCAGGGAGCCCCGCGUGACUCAGAGGGUGCCGGGAGUGAAGGCCAGGCGAGGAGAGCAUCCAGAGUGGGCAGAAGGGUGGUUUUUAUUUUUGAUCCUGUAAUGUCAGGCUCCAGCAAUUAGUUGUCUAUUCCCUGUAAUGCUGGCACUGCAGCAGAAUUCCACCGCAACCUGGAUAUUUGCCCAGGUACUCAUUUUAUAACUCCCAUGUUCAUUCAAUAAAUACCCUACCUGUA
This 1196-nucleotide long non-coding RNA is filed under the name Homo sapiens (human). RNAcentral's name for it is "HSALNT0371812". Lineage: Eukaryota; Metazoa; Chordata; Mammalia; Primates; Hominidae. The record is from RNAcentral.